GUCUACAGCCAUGUCACCCUGAACAAACCUGAUCCCGUCUGAUCUCAGAAGCUAAGCAGGGUCGGGCCCGGUUCGUACUUGGAUGAGAGACCACCUAGGAAGACAAGGUGCUGUAGGCA
Molecule: ribosomal RNA, 119 nt
Filed under: Pteropus alecto (black flying fox)
Lineage: Eukaryota; Metazoa; Chordata; Mammalia; Chiroptera; Pteropodidae
Source: RNAcentral